AUAAGAUAGAAGAAAAGAAACAGCAGCUAUAUAGCCAGUCACACAGGGACUGGACCCCCAAGAGAAAGAAGAGGAUCUUUCAGAUAUUGAGAGGUGUGUCAUACAAGGCCUCACCAAGGUCACUGGAACUGGAAAGAGAGUAGCAUAAUGAGGAACCUUGAAGGAAACAAUUGUAGUGCCAUCAGUCAAUUCUCAAAAGAAGCUAAAUCCUGUUUCUUGUGGACAACCAUAACCUAGGAACCACCUUGUGACUUAGAACUGCACUGCUCCUUGCAUCUGUCUGCUUCCUGAAUGCCACCUACCAGCAUAUUGAGCUUCUGGGAUGUCAACAACCAUUUUGGAGCUAAAAGUUGACUUGACAUCUUUGAACAGUAGUAUAGAUCACUAGUCCUACUCCUCUU
Molecule: long non-coding RNA, 401 nt
Filed under: Pan paniscus (pygmy chimpanzee)
Lineage: Eukaryota; Metazoa; Chordata; Mammalia; Primates; Hominidae
Description: lncRNA (ENSPPAG00000044693.1)
Source: RNAcentral